This 625-nucleotide ribosomal RNA is filed under the name uncultured Bacilli bacterium. RNAcentral's name for it is "bacterial SSU rRNA". It matches the Rfam family "Bacterial small subunit ribosomal RNA", at positions 48 to 655 of the family's 1533-position model. The record is from RNAcentral. Lineage: Bacteria; Bacillati; Bacillota; Bacilli.
CUAAUACAUGCAAGUCGAGCGGACGACGGGAGCUUGCUCCCUUAGGUCAGCGGCGGACGGGUGAGUAACACGUGGGUAACCUGCCUGUAAGACUGGGAUAACUCCGGGAAACCGGGGCUAAUACCGGAUGCUUGAUUGAACCGCAUGGUUCAAUCAUAAAAGGUGGCUUUUAGCUACCACUUGCAGAUGGACCCGCGGCGCAUUAGCUAGUUGGUGAGGUAACGGCUCACCAAGGCGACGAUGCGUAGCCGACCUGAGAGGGUGAUCGGCCACACUGGGACUGAGACACGGCCCAGACUCCUACGGGAGGCAGCAGUAGGGAAUCUUCCGCAAUGGACGAAAGUCUGACGGAGCAACGCCGCGUGAGUGAUGAAGGUUUUCGGAUCGUAAAACUCUGUUGUUAGGGAAGAACAAGUACCGUUCGAAUAGGGCGGUACCUUGACGGUACCUAACCAGAAAGCCACGGCUAGCUACGUGCCAGCAGCCGCGGUAAUACGUAGGUGGCAAGCGUUGUCCGGAAUUAUUGGGCGUAAAGCGCGCGCAGGCGGUUUCUUAAGUCUGAUGUGAAAGCCCCCGGCUCAACCGGGGAGGGUCAUUGGAAACUGGGGAACUUGAGUGCAGAAGA